CUUACAAUCUUCUUCAGUGCUCUCUUCUCUCUCUCUCUUCAGAUUUGUAUCAGAUUAUAUAAUUGUAAGAUGUUACAGAGAACACAGUUCUUUCUUCACUCUUCUUUUUAUUUUUCUUUUCAAAACACUCAUUUUUUCUCUUUUCUUUUAUUUAUCUCAUUUAUCUUUUCUCUGUUGUUAGAAGCACAGACAGUUCUUGAAUCAACUGAGAAAGUUAUCUCUCUUAAUUCACUAUAAAGUCUUUCAGACACAGCAGCAGCAGUUCUCUUGAAAACCACACUAUAGUCUCAUCAUAAAUGGCCAUAUAUC
RNAcentral lists this small RNA (309 nucleotides) under Histoplasma ohiense. RNAcentral describes it as "hypothetical lncRNA". Lineage: Eukaryota; Fungi; Ascomycota; Eurotiomycetes; Onygenales; Ajellomycetaceae. The record is from RNAcentral.